RNAcentral lists this ribosomal RNA (433 nucleotides) under uncultured Arsenophonus sp. RNAcentral describes it as "partial 16S ribosomal RNA". It matches the Rfam family "Bacterial large subunit ribosomal RNA", at positions 222 to 696 of the family's 2925-position model. The record is from RNAcentral. Lineage: Bacteria; Pseudomonadati; Pseudomonadota; Gammaproteobacteria; Enterobacterales; Morganellaceae.
AAAUCAACCGAGAUUCCCCCAGUAGCGGCGAGCGAACGGGGAGCAGCCCAGAGUCAGCAUCAAUAUUUACCGCAGGAGAAGGGUCUGGAAAGGCCGGCAAUAAGGGGUGAUAGCCCCGUAUCUGAAGCGGUAAGUGUUGUGAACUCAAAGAGUAGGGCGGGACGCGUGUUAUCCUGUCUGAAUAUGGGGGGACCAUCCUCCAAGGCUAAAUACUCCUGACUGACCGAUAGUGAACCAGUACCGUGAGGGAAAGGCGAAAAGAACCCCGGCGAGGGGAGUGAAAUAGAACCUGAAACCGUGUACGUACAAGCAGUGGGAGCACCCGAAAGGGUGUAACUGCGUACCUUUUGUNUAAUGGGUCAGCGACUUAUAUUCUGUAGCAAGGUUAACCGCGUANGGGAGCCGUANGGAAACCGAGUCUUAACUGGGCGUU